AUACGUAGGGGGCGAGCGUUGUCCGGAUUUAUUGGGCGUAAAGGGUGCGUAGGCGGCCUUGUAAGUCAGAUGUGAAAGAUCAUGGCUUAACUGUGGUAAGCAUUUGAAACUGCAGGGCUUGAGUACAGGAGAGGAGAGUGGAAUUCCUAGUGUAGCGGUGAAAUGCGUAGAUAUUAGGAGGAAUACCAGUGGCGAAGGCGACUCUCUGGACUGAUACUGACGCUGAGGCACGAAAGCGUGGGGAGCAAACAGGAUUAGAUACCCCGGUAGUCCUGGCAGUAAACGAUGUAUGCUGGGUGUGAGACUAGCGAUAGUUUCGUGCCGAAGUUAACGCGAUAAGCAUACCGCAUGGGGAGUACGGUCGCAAGAUUGAAACUCAAAUGAAUUGACGGGG
RNAcentral lists this ribosomal RNA (394 nucleotides) under uncultured bacterium. Its description in RNAcentral is "partial 16S ribosomal RNA". It matches the Rfam family "Bacterial small subunit ribosomal RNA", at positions 523 to 918 of the family's 1533-position model. The record is from RNAcentral.